Molecule: ribosomal RNA, 465 nt
Filed under: uncultured Stenotrophomonas sp.
Lineage: Bacteria; Pseudomonadati; Pseudomonadota; Gammaproteobacteria; Lysobacterales; Lysobacteraceae
Description: bacterial SSU rRNA
Rfam family: Bacterial small subunit ribosomal RNA
Source: RNAcentral
CCUCCGGGAGGCAGCAGUGGGGAAUAUUGGACAAUGGGCGCAAGCCUGGUCCAGCCAUACCGCGUGGGUGAAGAAGGCCUUCGGGUUGUAAAGCCCUUUUGUUGGGAAAGAAAUCCAGCUGGCUAAUACCCGGUUGGGAUGACGGUACCCAAAGAAUAAGCACCGGCUAACUUCGUGCCAGCAGCCGCGGUAAUACGAAGGGUGCAAGCGUUACUCGGAAUUACUGGGCGUAAAGCGUGCGUAGGUGGUCGUUUAAGUCCGUUGUGAAAGCCCUGGGCUCAACCUGGGAACUGCAGUGGAUACUGGGCGACUAGAGUGUGGUAGAGGGUAGCGGAAUUCCUGGUGUAGCAGUGAAAUGCGUAGAGAUCAGGAGGAACAUCCAUGGCGAAGGCAGCUACCUGGACCAACACUGACACUGAGGCACGAAAGCGUGGGGAGCAAACAGGAUUAGAUACCCCUGUAGUC